Molecule: ribosomal RNA, 260 nt
Filed under: uncultured bacterium
Lineage: Bacteria
Description: partial 16S ribosomal RNA
Rfam family: Bacterial small subunit ribosomal RNA
Source: RNAcentral
UACGUAGGGUGCAAGCGUUGCUCGGAAUUACUGGGCGUAAAGCGCACGUAGGCGGCUUUCUAAGUCGGGGGUGAAAUCCUGGAGCUCAACUCCAGAACUGCCUUCGAUACUGGAGAGCUCGAGUCCGGGAGAGGUGAGUGGAACUGCGAGUGUAGAGGUGAAAUUCGUAGAUAUUCGCAAGAACACCAGUGGCGAAGGCGGCUCACUGGCCCGGUACUGACGCUGAGGAGCGAAAGCGUGGGGAGCAACAGGAUUAAGAA